Molecule: ribosomal RNA, 423 nt
Filed under: uncultured Glomeromycotina
Lineage: Eukaryota; Fungi; Glomeromycota
Description: SSU rRNA
Rfam family: Eukaryotic small subunit ribosomal RNA
Source: RNAcentral
CGGUACGUACUGGCAUUGUUGGUUUCUCCCUUCUGACGAACCAUGAUGUCAUUUAUUUGGUGUUGUGGGGAAUCAGGACUGUUACUUUGAAAAAAUUAGAGUGUUUAAAGCAGGCUCACGCUUGAAUACAUUAGCAUGGAAUAAUGAAAUAGGACGUUCGAUCCUAUUUUGUUGGUUUCUAGGAUUGACGUAAUGAUUAAUAGGGAUAGUUGGGGGCAUUAGUAUUCAAUUGUCAGAGGUGAAAUUCUUGGAUUUAUUGAAGACUAACUACUGCGAAAGCAUUUGCCAAGGAUGUUUUCAUUAAUCAAGAACGAAAGUUAGGGGAUCGAAGACGAUCAGAUACCGUCGUAGUCUUAACCAUAAACUAUGCCGACUAGGGAUCGGAUGAUGUUAAUUUUUUAAUGACUCAUUCGGCGCCUUACG